UCGGAUAAUGUCUUUGGAUCCGG
This 23-nucleotide non-coding RNA is filed under the name Arabidopsis thaliana (thale cress). The record is from RNAcentral. Lineage: Eukaryota; Viridiplantae; Streptophyta; Magnoliopsida; Brassicales; Brassicaceae.